AGAGAGACGUGAUAACACAGCUAACAGCAUCAGCACCCCACAGAAUUAAACGUCUUUGGAGACGUGUGGUGCGCAGGAACUAACAUACACAACAAUGUGCUGCACUCAGGAGAGGACAACAAUUCGCUUGACCUGUCAAACAUGUUAGAUAACUUCUGUUGUCACCAUUUAUUUGUCCCAAGACUACAACUAAGUUUUCACACCAUCAGCAGUGGCUGGGAUGACAAUUCACUCAGAACUGAGGGGAAUCUAACACUCAGUCAGUUAUGGAAGAUGGGAAGCAUCCAGCAUGCUGUCGUAGAACCAGAAAUCACAGAGGGACUCUGCCUGCCUCAUAUUGACUGGGACAACAGUGGACUGCUGGAUGACCCACACUGUGGGGUCACUAUUUCUGAAACUGGCAAUGUGUUGAGCCCUGAACAACUUGGUAGCACUGAGGGCAGCCAUGGAUGCACUGGGACAUUCUGAA
Molecule: long non-coding RNA, 469 nt
Organism: Fundulus heteroclitus (mummichog)
Lineage: Eukaryota; Metazoa; Chordata; Actinopteri; Cyprinodontiformes; Fundulidae
Exons: 3
Source: RefSeq, a predicted model, not a curated record